Molecule: long non-coding RNA, 490 nt
Organism: Triticum dicoccoides
Lineage: Eukaryota; Viridiplantae; Streptophyta; Magnoliopsida; Poales; Poaceae
Exons: 3
Source: RefSeq, a predicted model, not a curated record
GCGGCAAGCGGGUCAACAGUCGCCGCGCCGCGUGACACGCUCCAUCGCGGCAAACACCAUUGCCGCGGGAGCGCCUCAUGCUGCGACGGCAACUGGAGCGGGAUCUAGCCGGACCACCGCUUCAGUUCCUGCCGCUGCUCACGCCGCGCCAGCAGCUGGAGCGGGGCCGUCUCAGACCACCGCCACUGCUCCCGCCAAGCGGCCAAGGGAAGCUUCUCCUCCGCCUCCUCGCGCCGGGCGCGCGCCGGACUUCGACUUCUCCGCGUUCAGCUCCGACGAGGAAGAAGAAGAAGAGACCCUGGCCCAGAGAGCGGCAAAGAAAGCUAAGGUCCUGGUGAUCGUCAUCGAGGACGAGCCCACUACGACAGCAGGUGGCGCGCCCCAGACAACCUUGCCGGACCCGACGACUUUUCUCCAGAGCAGCCCCCAGCGAGCAGAGCAGCCCCAGCAAGAGCCAAGGGAGAAUCCUCCGACAAGGGAGAGCUCUCCG